Molecule: ribosomal RNA, 250 nt
Filed under: uncultured Holophagae bacterium
Lineage: Bacteria; Pseudomonadati; Acidobacteriota; Holophagae
Description: partial 16S ribosomal RNA
Rfam family: Bacterial small subunit ribosomal RNA
Source: RNAcentral
UACAGAGGGGGCAAGCGUUAUUCGGAAUUACUGGGCGUAAAGGGCGCGUAGGCGGCCUGGCAAGUCGAAGGUGAAAUCCCUCGGCUUAACCGAGGAACUGCGUUCGAGACUGGUUGGCUUGAGUCCGGGAGAGGUGAGUGGAAUUCCAGGUGUAGCGGUGAAAUGCGUAGAUAUCGGGAGGAACACCAGUGGCGAAGGCGGCUCACUGGACUGGUACUGACGCUGAGGCGCGAAAGCCUGGGGAGCAAAC